GUGAAACCGGUGCCAGCGGCCGGGGGAAGUAGGAGGGGUGAAGGGUUAAUCGGGAUUUCCGGGGGUAAAGCGGGCGUGGGGGGGUGUUUGAGUUCGUUGUGGAAGUCCUGGGCUCAACCUUGGAACCGGAGUGGAUAAUGGGCGACUAGGGUGUGGGAAGGGGUAGCGGAAAUCCUGGGGUAGCAGGGGAAUGCGGAAAGUACAGGAGGAACAUCCAUGGCGAAGGCAGCUACCUGGAACAACACUGAAACUGGGGGACGAAAGCGUGGGGGGCAAACAGGAUUAGAUACCCUAGUAAUC
RNAcentral lists this ribosomal RNA (300 nucleotides) under uncultured Alistipes sp. RNAcentral's name for it is "partial 16S ribosomal RNA". It matches the Rfam family "Bacterial small subunit ribosomal RNA", at positions 496 to 795 of the family's 1533-position model. Lineage: Bacteria; Pseudomonadati; Bacteroidota; Bacteroidia; Bacteroidales; Rikenellaceae. The record is from RNAcentral.